Long non-coding RNA from Hyla sarda, 333 nucleotides. RefSeq lists it as uncharacterized. NCBI's taxonomy places the organism in Eukaryota, Metazoa, Chordata, Amphibia, Anura, Hylidae. The record is from RefSeq and is a predicted model, not a curated record. The transcript is spliced from 3 exons.
AGAACACAGGCGAACAGCAAUUCUAGACCCAAACCAAGAGCGGUACUGUUUCUGGAACAACAGAAGACAUUUUAUUCUAAUCCUGGACAAACUAUUUAAGGAUAUCAAAGAGUGUGGCGUUAUUUGUCCCUCAAUGGAGGCACCCCUGCAUACCUGACCUAUGUGCCUGCUGAGUUUUUGCAAUAAAGAAGUCUAACUACGUAUGAUCCGUCUAUCCUGUGGGCUACUUCAGAUUUGGUGGACUAUGAUGACCAGCGUUUUUUGUUUAAUAUUAACAACAUUUUGUAAUGUAAUCUUUUUUCAACCGUACUAACUAUGUAACUAUGUAAUGAG